AUGUGUGUGAUAAGACCGUCAGCUCCGAGGGUGUGUUCUUUCGUCUUCCAGAUACUCCUCCAGCUCUGUGAGCCUCCUGGGCCCCUUCAGCUCGUGGUCCAUGGCGGGCUAGUGCAGGCUUCUGCUCUGUGGUCAUCAAACCUCUUCAGAGUUGGAGGCAGCUGCUCGCAGGAACAGUGGCUGCUGAUCGUUGGGACAAGACCAAGGAGUCUAUUUAGAACCCUUAGCGUCACCUGACCUUUGCUAAUGAGGACACAGAGUCGUGACCCCAACACGUUGAGGGGUCUAUUUCAGGUUUAGUAGGAAACGCCAAUAUUCUCUUUUAAAUGAUUCUGUGCACAAAAUGCUGGUUAAAUAUGAUCUCUGGUGCUCCAGAAAGACUCAGUGCUCACGUGCACUGGGCUGCAUCUUUAUCAUAUCUGACCAUAACUUUUGCACCUUAGUGCCUCACUCAGGCUAAUGGACCCAGAAAUAUCUCUCCUGUGUGAGUCCACACAACUAUGACCUUUGACCCUCAUCUGGUGAGGCCCUGACCUACUGAUAGCCCCCCGAUCGUGUCUCUUGAACCCCCCCAAGGAGAGUUAAAUGCAGAUCAGGCAUACUACUGCCCCAGCGCUGCUGCAGAGGCCUCAUGACUGCUGAAAACACAACACUUUCCACAGGAAGUGCUCACUCACACUUUCCAAGGCUGUGAAAACAACAGCAACGGAUGAGAGGAGGGUGAGGAUUCCUGGGCGCUGGCACCACCGGCCCGGUCCCUAAGCCGGUUAUAGGGCCACUGGUGUCUGUGGGCUGUGUUGGGAGGGUGGAGGUGAAAGGGCAGCAGGUAUUGUGAGGAGAGAUGGGAGGAGACCAUGACUCAGUGGGGUGACAGAGGCCAGAGGACAGAGUCUUAAAAGUAGAGAUGGAGUCAGCCUCCAGUACCUGGACAGGGAGCUGGUUCCACAGCAGGGGGCCUUGGUAGCUAAAUGCUUGGCCCCCCAUUCUACCUCUAGAGACUCUGGGACCACAAGUAGACCAGCAUUCUGAGAGCGGAGCGUAUAAUAUUAUAUCAGUGAAGGACGGCAGACCCGGUCACCUAUUACAACUUCCAGAAUGAAGUUGUAAAAUGCAAAUAGAGUGAACGAGUAAGAGUAUAUCGAAUUGUCAGCAAAUAAUUCUCAAGAGCUUCAAGAAGAACCAACCAUGUUGCAUUACUACCACUAAUAAUACCCAGCUAGAACUACGGCCACAAGAGUUCUCCUGUACCGUCUACAUCGGUCUAAUGUCAAAUGAACCGAUCUGCUGAACAAAUGAAAAGCUUCCUUUUAAUAUCUUGAGGAUAAUAUAGAGCGACCCCCUUACUGGAGGGGGGAUAUCAUGGGACUCCUCACCUGCUCUAGUCCGAGAUGACAUUUCCCUCCAUGAAAAUGUGAAGCCACAACAGAGACAGACGAUCGUUGAAUCUCUUGUUUCCCCACUUGGAAGUUUAGACCAGUUCUGUUUAGGCUCAGUUCCAACACUCAAGAAGUGUUUCUUGUUUUACUUUUGGCGAAUCUCCUUUUGCACACAUCAGUCAACACUCACCUGUUGUCUCAGGUUCAGACUGACAGACAGAUGUUGGAUGAGUGUGAAGGACCUGUCCUCUGAUGUGUCGCUCACAUGUGUGUUAAACCGCAGCGCAGUCCGCCCAUCACACAUGCCGGUAAAUGACCAGCAUGGACCCUCUCAGGAUGUUGGGUAAUGUCUGGAUUCUUUGCAUCGUCAGGCCGAACGUCUGCUAGAGCAAUUGUCUCAAAUGUCAACAACAUCCAAGAGAGAGAGGGAGAGAACUGGAAUGCUGAGGUGGGGGGGGGGGCGGUUUUCCGACAACGCGCACAUAAACAUGCUGACUGUGGGUCAGCAGGAGAGUGAAGAAAGAGGGUGAUGGUGGAUUCCUGUGACAUAAUAUUUAAUACUUUGAAUCAACUGUAAAAAUCCAUCGGAAGGAAUAUGAAGAUGCUCUUGAUUCUUGGUUUUAGCCCCACCAGCUUCAGGGGUUAGCUUCACCUAACCUGAGAACCUGUUUCCAAGCCAACAUAUCUGCAUAUCUGUUGCCUGAAUGAAGGUGUUGGAGACAGGUGGGUUCUUUCAGGAGCUCUGGGACAAAGUUUCAAAGAGCAAGUAACACAACACUAACCCUUAACACAUUUAUGUCAGGAAGCUACAGCACUAGCAGCAGUGCUAGCAAACUUGAAUAGAUGUUGAUGAUGAUGUCACAACAAGUGUAGCCCGAAUGGACGUGUCUGGCAGGUAAACAGCCUUUUCCACACCAACUAGAAGUAACAAGAUGAUCUGUAAUGUGACUUCCUGUCAAAACACAUCAAAGGAAAUGAUACCAGAGAGUCGACUGAAAAAACUUAAAUGUUCUACCAAAGUUUGCUUAUUCAGAUGGUGUAAAACGUGUGGGAGAACAUUCCAACACAAACGGCAACAAUUUAUAUAAAGGUUACAAGUUUAGUGAUGUGGAAUUUCUCCACAAGUAUCAAGGUAGGUAGAGAGAUAUUGGGUGAAACUGCUAGCUAGAGUGACAAAUCAUUAGCAUCAUUCCAUCAUCAUUUAUGGAAAGUAUGACAUGUAGGAGGAUAGCAAACUCUACUGAAGCAUAUAUAAUCUGUUCUGAAUGAAGCAAUAUGCCAUCAAAUUGUGGCCGUGCUUGUCCAAGUGAACAGCUUCUACGUAGCGACAAUAAUAUUAGCCAAAUGCUAACACCAGCUGACAUUGUUCUCUUCCACCUGCCGGACAGCUGACUUAUUCAGUUCCUGCUUGACCUUGGUUAGCAACCCCUACGCUGGCUCCGUUGCCAUAGCUACAGUGACAGGAGCUUUAAUUUAGCUAUUAUUUUAGUUCGGUUGUGUGAAGGAGGAAAUAUC
Molecule: long non-coding RNA, 2891 nt
Filed under: Takifugu rubripes (torafugu)
Lineage: Eukaryota; Metazoa; Chordata; Actinopteri; Tetraodontiformes; Tetraodontidae
Description: lncRNA (ENSTRUG00000027836.1)
Source: RNAcentral